This 465-nucleotide ribosomal RNA is filed under the name Vreelandella stevensii. RNAcentral's name for it is "partial 16S ribosomal RNA". It matches the Rfam family "Bacterial small subunit ribosomal RNA", at positions 338 to 795 of the family's 1533-position model. The record is from RNAcentral. Lineage: Bacteria; Pseudomonadati; Pseudomonadota; Gammaproteobacteria; Oceanospirillales; Halomonadaceae.
CCUACGGGUGGCAGCAGUGGGGAAUAUUGGACAAUGGGCGAAAGCCUGAUCCAGCCAUGCCGCGUGUGUGAAGAAGGCCUUCGGGUUGUAAAGCACUUUCAGUGGGGAAGAAAGCCUUGGGGCUAAUACCCUCGAGGAAGGACAUCACCCACAGAAGAAGCAUCGGCUAACUCCGUGCCAGCAGCCGCGGUAAUACGGAGGGUGCGAGCGUUAAUCGGAAUUACUGGGCGUAAAGCGCGCGUAGGCGGUCUGAUAAGCCGGUUGUGAAAGCCCCGGGCUCAACCUGGGAACGGCAUCCGGAACUGUCAGGCUAGAGUGCAGGAGAGGAAGGUAGAAUUCCCGGUGUAGCGGUGAAAUGCGUAGAGAUCGGGAGGAAUACCAGUGGCGAAGGCGGCCUUCUGGACUGACACUGACGCUGAGGUGCGAAAGCGUGGGUAGCAAACAGGAUUAGAUACCCGAGUAGUC